GUGACCUGUUAAUCGUCGCUGGCCGGGUGCGUGACGCCGUGGGAGCCGCAGUCCCGAGAUGGCGGCCACCCGCUGCCGGCGGUUUCCGGAGCUCUGCGAGGAGUGGCCGGUGGAGGGGACCAAGCGGGUCCGGGACCUGGGCGCCUUCCCGCGGCAGCGGGGGCCCAGGCCUUCCGGGAGGGGGCGAGCACCCAGUGAUAGGACGGAAGAAUCCCAUGCACCACUACAGACUAGGGACCGAAUGGCUAGACAGCAGUUCUGCAGAAAAGGACCUACGGGUUACAGUGGACGAGAAGCUGGAUAUUUUGGGCUGUAUAAGUAGGGGCAUUGCCAGCAGAUUGAGGGACGUGAUCGUUCCCCCCAUUUGACAUUGAUGAGGCUUCAUCCGGAGUAUCCAGUUCAUCUGUGUCCAGUUUUGGGCCCCACACUACAAGAAGGAUGUGAAAAAAUUGGAAAGCAUCCACCGAAAGACAGGCACAGGAAGAGAAGUCACAGGUAGCAGCAGGCUGGAUGGCUCAGGGGAAGGGUGAGAAGAUGGAAUCUUUCAUCUUUAAGGUCCUGCUUUGAACCCAACUCAGUCUGCACAGAACACCAAGAGGCAGGACUUGUGUACGACCAAGCCCGCAGAUCCCAGUCUUCUGCCUAGGCCUGACAACCACUGCCCCACUGCCAGUCUUCUGCCUAGGCCUGACAACCACCACCCCACUGCUCGCCUGCAGAAUUGGAUUUGGAUUUAUGGAGGAUUUGUGUGUUGGAUUUAUGGAGGAUUCAUUCGGGCACCAGGCACAAUGUCGUUCCUACAGGACGGGCAUGCCCAGCUCUCACAGUCUACUUCCUGUAGGCCUGACUUCUGCUCAGUUUGGUUCUGUGUCUGCACAGCUAUCGUUCAUGGUUUUAUGGAGAAGGCCCAACGAGAUGCACCAUGCUUGGCUACAGAGCCAGCCUGCCAAUGGCCCCAAAUGGCAUACGUAACAGGAACCACUUGAGACCUGAAUGCUGCCAAGGUACCUCCUCUGGUGACCCUUUCCCUUCUAGCAUCUCCCCUCAUCAGUAUCCCAAAAUGCCCUGCAGGGUGGGAUGGGCUCUUACUCCAGGGAGCAGCCGGGUCAUUCCGUCCACCGCCCUGCCCUCAGAUCACUCCCUUGCCCGGUACAUGCUCCUGCUUCCAGGCAGAUGGGGAGUGGGGAUAGUCAAUGACACCUGUGCAGUCUAGUCUCCCCCCCCCCCCGCAGUGCCCAAAGCCAGUUGCUCCUUCAGUCAACACAAGUACUGAUGAAGACAAUGGUGUGCUGUGCCCCUCUAUAGCUCCUUUAAUCUGAGCAGCUCCAAGGGGCUUUUCCCACAAGUCACCCUGUGCCCCUAGGAAACCGGGAAGCCUCAUGACCCCUCCGGCUACUAAUGGGCAAACAGAAGCAGGGAAAAAUUAAGUGACUUGCCCACAGUCACCCAGCGUGUCGCAAACAGCAUUAGAAUCCGUGAUUUGGGACUUCCAGUUCCAUCCCCCACUCCCUUGCCGGGAAGCGGAGACCCCGGCUGCAAUUCACAAGUCCCUCCAGAGCGCAGCCCAGGGUUUGGAGAGGCCAGUAUAAAAGGCUACUGGAUAAAAAAAUCAAUAUUGGCCUUGGAACUAACAUGAGCAUCUCUAACGCCAGCUCGUUCUGAAACCAGCCGCUCUGCUGGGAUGAGAAGCCCUGCUCCCAGCAGGAAACGCCGCUGAUCAGCUGCUCCAGCACCAGCCGCAUCAUAAAUACAGAUCUCGUUUGGGCCUGGGGUGGGAGCAGCACGUCCCGCGGACUUCUAUACUCUGCAUAAGCCUCUCUUCUCUCUGCAUUUCUAGCCUUAGACCCGGCCGUUCUCAGGGCAGAAAAGGCUGUGGUCUGAUUCCGCAUCAAGGUAAGACGGAGGCCCCGUGAGAAAGGGAGGGUUGAGUAAUCGGAAUGCUACACAUCACUGGUAUCGCUCCCCCAGCCCUUCCUGGGCGAGUGAUGCUUGUCUGAGAGCAGAGACGCUGAUCUAGGCUACAUUAGAGAAACGUAGAUCCUGAACUUGGAACUUGCCCAAACGCCUGGGAGCUAGACAUGCAGAUUUCAUGAACCUCAUGCUCAGGGUAUAAGCCAAUCUCUAGUUACUAGGAGGAAACCUAACGAGGGCAGGGGAGAAGAGAGGGAUUAUCCCACAGCUGCCUCAGGUGCGGUUUCUUGAACCUUCCUCUAAAAGCACGUGUAAGAGAGAAUCCUGAUCCAGAUGGCGCAAUGGUUAGGCCAUCAUGAGGGACGUUUAAACACGCAUCUGAGAAGUUGGCUCAUCAGCUCCCCACCCAUUGCAGUUCCAUCCUUUAAACAAGAUCUCACGACCAGGGUUUAUCCCGGCAGCUGUAGGCAACCUUUCUCCUCCCCCCACGGCUGCUUCUCUCCACCCCAGAGACAGCUGCAGUUCAGUGAUGUUUGGAAUAAACGGUGCUGCAGGAAGCAUGGUCUGGUGGUUAAAGCCAGAGAGUGCUGGCUUCUAUUUCUGGGGCUGCCACAGAUAAUCACACCCUUCUCUGCCUCAGUGUCCCUGUCUGUAAAACAGGGCUCAUGCCUCCCUACCUCGCAGGGCUGGCAGGAGACUCGGGGCCCCUCUUCCAGAGAUGCAGAAGCGCCUGCGUCUCCCCUCGAUCACCACUGGCGCUGCAGGUGCAGAGCACUUCUGAAAAUCAGGCCCCAAUGAAAAUAAGGGACGAGGAUUAUCAGCUCCUUGGGGCAGGGCCGUCUUUUUGUUCUGGGUUUGUACAGCGCCUAGCACAAUGGGGUCCUGCAUGUUGCCACAACAGACAUAAUGAAUGGUAGGUGCCCAACUCCCCUUGAAACUGAAAGGGCACUGCAUUCUCCCACCCUUCCUGUCUAACGGGCUCCUCAGAGGGAAAGUCCUAGAGACGUGCAGUGAAUUGGGUACGGGCUGACAGCUUAAAUCACUGGUGCCCAUUUCCAGUUAGUGGAGGAACCGGAUUCACCUUUCCCUUUCACAUCUCCCCUUCCAAUCGCCUGUGACAGCCCUCCACCGCAGCAGAGCAGAUUGCACGGGAAGCCCGCUGGCCUCGCAGCAGCAAGGGAAUGGAGAGAGCAGCGGGGCCCUAAGCAUGACAACACCAGCUGACAGGGCAUGGCAGCGAGGCACUGAGAGGCGGCUGCUGGAGUCUCUGACAGACGCUUGGUCAGCACAGCUAGGGGAUUUUUGGGGAGGCUCGUGACCAGGCCCGCAAAGGUCUGAAAGUUAAAUCUGGCUCGGAGCAAUUAGCUCUGACGAACUGACAGCGGCGCCUCUGCUGUGCAGCUCCAAAAGCACCCCUUCCCUCUGCCCCUCCCCAUGCAAAACAUGAAAGGAGAGCUCCAGUACCUGCAACCAGCCUUGUGCAUUACAGGGGCAGCAUGGAAGAUUCUCUUCUGGGCAUUGGACAUGGGGGGACUCAAGAUUUUCACAGACUAGUUUUUCCGAAUCCAGCUAAUUAGGAUCACAGCAGGCAAACGCCGCUGUGGGUUCAGUCCUUGAAGGGUAUGCAGAGCGUGAAAGGCAGCUUGUCGCUUUUAACAGGUCCGUGAGCCACUGGGAAGGGGCGGGAGGAGAGUUUCAAACUCAGAUCAGUGCAUGACGAGAAGUCGUGAGCAGCACAGCGAGACGACGCUGCCUUACACACAAGGCAGUGCUGCUCCAGGGACAAUCCAGAGACUGCCCUGCACAAGGCAAGAGCACAACGGGACUCUCACCCAGCACCUGGUGCUUGAAGUCAGGGCAUUGGGAGAAGGGCAGUGUGACCUAGUGGAUAGGGCAUCAGACAGCAUCAGGAGACCUGAGUCCCAUUGCUGGGUCUGGGCAAGUCGCUGUGCCUUUCUGUGCCUCAGUUUCUCCACUCACUCGGUCUUAUCUAGUUAGAUUGUAAGCUCUUUAGGGCAGAGGCUGCCUGCAUCUGUCCUGUGUCUAGCCCAAUGCAGCCACUAGAGGCUACUGUAAUGCUAAUUAAUAACAAGAAGAUGAGGAAAUUCAUUUCUCAAACCCACCCUGGCCCUGAAAUUCUUUAUUUACUGCUGCUUAGGAAUCAAUGGAAGAGGAGGGGAAAUGAGAAUUCGAAUGAAAGAACUGCCUGUGCCCCACUUAGCCCAGCCCAGCUUCGGGAAGGGGGGUUGUUCUGUCCCCUUCCUCGGCGCUUCGCUUGUGCUAAAAAAGCUGUCGGUGACUCACCCUAGAGGAUCCUGACCCCUAACUAGCUUAAGAAGUUAGUUUCAGGUUCACCCAGCAGCCACCAUGGCUCAUGUCUCUAUCUGGGGUGGUUUGGCCUGGAACCAACCCCAAAGCUGAGGUUUAUAACUGACAGACUCGUAUUUAAUCCUUUGUUAAUUUCUGCUUAUCAUCUAACAACAUGAUUAGUAGGAAGCAGGUUCUCUGGCUCUGGGUAGUUUUCAUAAGCACUGGGAUUGUUUUAAUGUGUCUUCCCCCUCUCCAGUGGUUCAGAAACCCAAAGGAUUGUGUUAGUAUUUUAAAACUUAGCAUCUUUCCUUCGUGACUCCCCCACAUCGGUCCAGAGCAGAUGAUUACACAUCCGGAGGGAGACCUCCACCACACACCUACAUGCUGUGGAAGUGAUGCUCCUAAUUCUGGCACGCUGGCAGUUGGUUCACCUUGAAACUAGGGGAGGGAAUAUCAGGCUGCUGAAAGACACCAUCUUUCAAAUGCCAGGUUCCAACCCAGUCCUGACCAGCAAUGGCCACAGAACAUCUCAUGGCACUGCCCACAAUUGGAGUGCCCAGCUGGAUUUUGCCACCUUCAAUUUCAGUCGGGUACAGCAUUCUUUGCUUCUUGUCCCAAGCUAGACUCGGGCAGAGUUGCUGUGCACCAACACCUGCUACUUCCCCCCCUAGAGGUGGCUGCAGCUCACUGACUCAGCCGUGAGCUCUCUGUACGGUUGUAUUUUUAUUUCUACGGUACCCUGGGAGCGUCUGAUGCUUUGCAGACAAAAAAAAAAAAGAAACCAAGUCUCUGCCCUGGGGUGCUUCCAGUUCAGCUCAGACCAAGGACAGGUAAGAACAUCAAAAUGAAGGAGGAAGGUUAGCGUACAAAGGACAAAAGGGGAGAAGUGGUGGAUCACAGAUCAGAAUGGGAGGGGCAAAUUAAGGCGCAAGACUGAGGGCGCAGUUCACAUAUCAGUGUGGGUCUUGCAGGGAGGCGGUAUCUCUGUACAGGAACUCAGUAUUAUUCAAAGGACUUCCCCCUGCAGGGCAAGAAACCUCCAAGGCCAGGAGCCCUGGAAAGCCAGGACAGUAAAUGCAAGUGGGCUGGGGAAGCUUGCACCACGCCUGGCUGUGCCGUACCAAGCUUGGGGCAAUGCUGGUAGAGGAAGAGAGCCUGCGGCACACGUCCCGCUCCAUCCUUCAGAACUGCCACUCACAGCACAGAUCCCCCGCUGACUGGUUCGGAGGCAAGUGGCACAAUCAGAAGGGAGGCACGAGCCAACUAUCCUGGCAAACAGAAGCUUUGAUAAACCAUCAGCACAAACAGCUGUUCCGCGGGAUCAUUAAAAAGGCCCCGCAUAAAGAACCUGGCUAGUCAACACCUGGCUCUGACCGAAACUGAAAAGAAGCCAGCGGGGGGAGCGGCAGCCACUCGGCUCUGGGGUGCAGGAGGUUCUAGCGUGGCUGUGGCUGUCACUGCAGCACAGGGUGCCUGGGGUAGCGUUAUGAGCAUGCCCAGCUCCCUGCUGUGCCAGGCAUCCCGCUGGGGAAAAUAACACUCCUGGCAUUGGCAUUGAACUGCCCCACCCAGGGGCUGCAGUAGGGGAUCUGGUUGGGUAGCUGAUGAAACUGACGAACCCCAGAAUUCCAGACCACCAGCCCCAGCACCUUCCUGUGAACUUUGACCCAUCUCUGUUCCCAUUAAGGGAUGGAUCAUUCCAAUUCUAAUCACGGCAUCCCAACUGUGGGAUAGGUUGCUGUCUCUGUAUUAUGGGCCGGGGGCAGCAGCUUGCUGGAUAUUUACCCCUGUUCCUUGGGGCACAGCUCUGCUAGGGAUUGGACAUGUGUACACUGAUGGUAGAAUGACUUUUCUAAUGGCUUGGUCAAAGGCAGACUCCUGGCUUGGCAAGCGUAGGAUAAAAGGGCCCAGCCUGAAACAAGCAUACUGCUAUGUCUAGCAUUUGGCUAGUUGAGUCUAAUGCCAACACUGACAGUCAGGUCCCGGGGCCACUCAGGACUCUGUACAAGCUCCACUCACAGUAGCUGGAUAGUUCUCUAUUAGCUGCUGUGAGAUAGGUAAUGUCCUAAUUGCCAUCAGUAGGCUUCAGAGUUAACACUAACUGGGAUGUACAGGGGCAGUCCAGAGGGAUUGUUCUUAUUUGAAGUCUUGGAAAAGAAACAAAAAAUACACAGAACUGACAGGUUCCUUUAGCAACUGCCAGAAGCUAGAAACUUACAGUUAUUAAAUAUAAACAUCGACCUAACAGAAACUAGUGGGAGCAGUAAGCAGUGCUGGUACAGUGCCCUGGCCAGUACCGGCUCCAGCCAACAAGGAGAGAGUCACCUUUACAACCUCCUUCGGAUUUAAAGGAGCCAUAUGGAUCCCUAGUCCCAUUGCUGCCAUUACCCUACCCUGCUGCUUCUCUGAAAGAAAGGCAACCCUGGCGGCUGUAGAAAUCGUCCUUCCCUAGGAGGUCGUCGUGGGGUAAGCACAGUGCUUGGGUUGUUAAGCAGCCCAUGACGUUCUCUGUAAGAGCAGGAACAUUCAAUCCCAAUGCCCCUGACCCCCUGUACUCUCCCCUGCCUGCCCUAACUCAGGUCGGUUUGCUAUGGGCUAGUAAACUGAGGCUGCAUUUCACCCAGAGGUGGCUGCAGGGAGGCCAGGGCACAGUGUGUAAAGUGCUCAGAGAGGAGCUCAACGAGCACAAGAUGAGCAGCAGUGAUUCCUGGGAAUUACAUGUACCAUACCCUUGCCUCCUUGCUGGGCCACGUGCAGCCACCUGCGCUGGAAUGAGCCAUCUGGCGUCUCCUGAUUGACCACUCAGCCGCCCACGCCUGCCACGCCUACAGGACACAAGACAGCAGGCACAGCUGCUGCUGCUUCUGCAGCCUUGACGCCUCCCACAAGCACGUCUGUCUCAAGGCACCAGCUGAAACAAGCAGCGCUCAGCACUUUCAGCUGCAGCCAUUGAUCGGAUGGGAGCAGCAGUCGCUCCAGAGAUAGAUCUGUUGCUGGCGGAGGCCCAAGCGUCCGAGGCCUCUGCCAGCUCGCUGAGGCAGUUGCGUUUGGUGCAGCAGGCUGACACAGAACAUCUUGGGAACACACAAACCGACUCACCGCUGUGGAGACAAGGAUGGGACUGAGGGACUCAGCUGCAACCCACCUACUAAAGAUCUCAAAGCUGUGAGCAAGGGGGGGGGGGGGAGUGGGGCAAGGGAGACAAGAUGACCUUCAGCAGAAAGCAAAUGCAGAGACAGGGCUGUUCUCCAACCCAACACCACCUCACUGGGAAGGAAACAGGCAGCAGGAAAUGGCAUCGGGGAACUGACCCCCAAGAAGCUCCCCAGGCAGGAAGUAAAAGACUAAUCUGCCCUCGAUUGACCUGAGAGGCCAUCACCCAGGACAGGCACAUGUGGCCGGAGCACUGCAGCCAAAUAUACCUCUCAGCAGACAGUGCAUCGAGUGACUACACUAUGAGAAAACCCACCCCCCCACUUCUAUUUCCUUUAAGCAGCGAUGAAAGGGACCAGAGCUACGGCCCAAGGCGACCCAAGUCCUGUACCACAGAGACAGCAGUAGCAUCCGCCACAGCACUGUGUCAGCACGUAUCACCCUGGAGCAAGCUUGAUGGCUGCUGGAAGGGAGCGGAGUUCCAUCUCCGGCCAAUCCAAGCAUUAGCCUCCCUACUGCCAGAAGAGCCCAUGGGAGGGAGGUCUUAACAGUCCCUGUUGGCUGGGAACUGGACCGAGACCCAGCAGCUCCUGUUAGUAAGGUGACAGCCAGAAGAGAGCAGAAACUGAGGUCAUUCCCAGCCUGGUCCGGAGGAGAGCCAGCCAUCGAGAGGCCAGGCUCCAGAUUCCACUACCAGUCACGACAGCUUCGCCCCCAGAGUCUCCCACAUUCAGCAGCUGCUCAUUCCCCAGGCAGCGCUGGGUGUUACAGAACUGGGACCCCCAACCAGGACAUGGCUUUCGAAACAACCCCGGGCUAAGAAGGCCCGAACCCCUAGUGGAGGGGUUUCUUUCGAUCACAUGUAAAAAACUUUGAGGGUAGCUAUUGGCUAGUGCCUUGUCAAAACAGCAUCUUCUUACUCCCUGAUCUCUUCAUACCACGGCUGGACAAGUGUCAAGCCUGGCAGCACACACCCCCCCCCCCCCCGCGUGCUGACAGAGCCUUUCGCCCAAGGCGUGUUCCUGCAGUAGGUCCCUAUUUCAUAGAUGGGAGGAAAACCCCGCAGUGAGUGACCAUCGAAGGUCACACAGGGAAUUGGGUCUCCUGACUCCCUGUUCUAACCACUAGAACACCCUGCCUCACCCGUGGCUAACGAAGUGAGCCAAGUUAUGACUGCAGAGCGUUUACUGCUAGUGACAGCCUCAGAGGAGGGAAGCUGCUGGCUUUAAGCUUGUGAACGGAGCACUUUUGAUACUGAAGCCAUUGAGGGAGUAGACAGUGCCCUCCCUGUGUCUUUUAUGAUGUCACGUAACCAUAACUUCCAUGCACGGCUUCUCCCAGGACCUUCCCUCCCACUCCUUCCUACCAGUUGGUCUGAGCCCAGACAAGCCUCUUGGAGAGAUGGUUCUGGCUGCUGCUUGUUUUAACUCUUGGCCUGGCCCUUUUACUGAUUGCGACCGAGAAGCCGAUCAGCCGGAGACACGUAUUGACCAGCCGAUCAGUUAAGAGGAGAGGUUGUAACUGACCUGUAUGAAAGCGGCUGCUGUGUUGGCUUGGAAUACAAUACCUGCCCAGGCAUGAGGAAGGUUAACGAGUCCCAGUGACCUUCCAAGCUGGGCUCAUCUAUCACUGGGGGGGGCGGAUGCUAAAGGAGAAACUAGUAAGUCUAACAGUAAAAGGCUCUGCUGUCAGCUUGGACUUGUGCUGAACAGUUAUUUCCCGACACCACCCUGGGAGCUGCUUUGGUCCUGCUGACUCAGCUGGCUGCAGGCUCUGCUGUCAGGGGAGGGAGGCGUUUGGAAAGCGUGCAAGUCAGAUCUGGAGAGGGUGGUGGGCAGCCAACUACAUGAACUUGCAGUAGACUAGGAUGCGAGGAGAAAAAGCGCUUUUUAGGCUGCACAUACCGAGUGACUUCUAAGAGCCAGCCACACGGGGGAUGUGGUGGGGCAGGCAGUUGUCUGAAUAGGUAAAGGAGCUGAAUGGGGGGUUUCAGAUGGUCCAUGGUGGGUAGGAAUAAUGGGAUGAAGUGAAAGAGAAAGCUCUUCCCAAGGGGAUCUGUUCAGCUGAGGUACAGGCCCUAGGGUAAGUGAUGGGAGCACCGUAACGGAACACCAGCUUGGACAAACAGGUUUGGAAGAUGAGCUUUUUAUCAGUAAAUAAUCUGUGUCAAUUUCAUCGUACACCUCUAAACCAAUGAAAAAUCUUCUCAGCAAUAAUCAAAGUUUACAGAUGGGAAAAUACAGCUGAGAAUUUAGUAGAGUUUGAUUUAAGGCCAUUUCCUUCGUAUAUUUUGAUCCGUGAUGUUGACAUUUGUGUUUUAAUGGUUAUAAAGCAUUAACUGUUUGGAUCUCA
RNA transcript from Chelonia mydas (Green sea turtle), 9726 nucleotides. It is a transcript of the gene named ubiquinol-cytochrome-c reductase complex assembly factor 2-like, with no coding region annotated. The record is from RefSeq and is a predicted model, not a curated record. Lineage: Eukaryota; Metazoa; Chordata; Testudines; Cheloniidae. The transcript has 4 exons.